This 403-nucleotide ribosomal RNA is filed under the name uncultured bacterium. RNAcentral describes it as "partial 16S ribosomal RNA". It matches the Rfam family "Bacterial small subunit ribosomal RNA", at positions 30 to 526 of the family's 1533-position model. The record is from RNAcentral.
AUUGAACGCUGGCGGCAGGCCUAACACAUGCAAGUCGAGCGAGCGGCGGACGGGUGAGUAAUGUAUAGGGACUGUCCGCUAUGGGGGGAUAACUCAUGGAAACGGUAGUUAAUACUGCAUACUACCGGAUUACACAUAUGGGAUUAGCUCGUAGGUGAGGUAUUGGCUCACCUGGGCGACGAUCCCUAGCUGGUGGGAGAGGAUGAUCAGCCACACUGGGACUGAGAAACGGCCCAGACUCCUACGGAGGCAGCGGUGGGGAAUAUUGCAAAAUGGGCGAAAGCCUGAUGCAGCCAUGCCGCGUGUAUGAAGAAGGCCUUAGGGUUGUAAAGUACUUUCAGUCGGGAGGCGUUACCGAAAGAAAAAGCACCGGCUAACUCCGUGCCAGCAGCCGCGGUAAUUC